Long non-coding RNA from Amphiprion ocellaris (clown anemonefish), 1504 nucleotides. Lineage: Eukaryota; Metazoa; Chordata; Actinopteri; Pomacentridae. The record is from Ensembl.
GUGAUCGCCUCAUCAUCCUCGUUCUCCCAUAAAGGGCCAGACAGUGCCACUACUCGACGCUGGAUCACAAUUGACAUAUAGUAAGUAUUGUUGACCAGUCAGUUUAGUUCUCAGUUUUUGCCUUGUACUUACCUUCUGUUCUCGUCCUUCCAGUACAGGAGUCCUGUUUGCUCUCCUGUACCAUGGUCUCCCCGUUCAAGCUGGAGCCCCGCAUUCCUUCCCUACCUCGCUUCUGUGCACCGACAGGAUCCCUGACCUCCCUCCAUUCCACAGCGGCACCUGUCCAGCUGCACCGGCCACCUUUCCACCACUGCCCACCUCACCUCUCCAAUCUCUACCUGUUGCUCAGCCUCAUGCCUGCUGCAGAAAAGGCCUUCCACACUGUUUAAGUGUUUGUGUCGCUCUGUAGCCCAGCAGUCUGUACACUUGGAGUCUCUGGAGAUGCAAGCUCACGCUGAAUCACUGUGCCUGCUCAGCAGGGAGCUAGGAGAGAGUACAAUAACCAAAUCCCAGGAGUUGGAAUAUCAGGCCUGUAGCACACAGCACUUUGUUUACACAUCACAUGGGCUAUCUGCUGAGUGCACGUCUGCUAGGGUUGGUGUUUGCCCUUACAGCAAACAUGCAUGUCAUGCUGAGUGGAAACAUAGCAACAAGUCUUAUUAUUGUCUUUAAUAUUAUGAAUUAAUGCCUCUGUAGUAUGGUUAUACAGAGAACAUUUCUUCCUAUGCUGUAAUUUUCCACUUUGGUUUUAUACUUUGCUAAGUGCCAGGCCUCUGGACAUGACUGGUUGAAAGGAAUCCCCUCUUGGAUAAUUAGUUGUGGGUUAAUAAGUUGAAAUCAAGAAAGUGCUGUAAUGCAAAAUCUAUUUUUUUUAAUAUAUUUUUUACAAAGACAGAAUAUUUCUUUAAUAAGUUUGACUAUUAACAAUUCAAAUAUAUGCUUUGAUAUUACCAAUAGCCCCUAAAAUGACUUUUCAUAAUGAAGUUGUUUUCAUAUCUUUAAUUGUGGUUUGUAAGUCAGUCAUGGCCGUCAACAACCACUGCAGUUAGAUACCUUGCAAAUGUUAACUGAUUACAGCUCAUUCGUCCUCCUGUUAGCCUUGUUAUAGCUGUUAGCGUGGAACAAUGGGUCUUUUCCACUUUUUAAUCACUUUUUAAUUUUGACUUGUCAUUGUAGGAAAAGCACAGGUUGACUUUCAUUAAGUAUCGCAGGAAGUCAGCGAGAUUGCACAACAGACAACAAUGAUCCUGGAAUUACAUGUUAACCAAAUGUAACAUGUACAUUCUUAACAUUUAGUACUUUAUGUCAAUGAUUUUUCUGCAAUCGAAAGGCAAAAAAUGUACUUUUCCUGCUGUGACAAGUCAAAAAUGUGCUGUGAAGCAGGUGUUAUGAAUAAAAUUAAAGGACUCUUCACAUUUAUUUUAAUCCAAAGUAUUUCCCUUAAAUCUGCCCUGUAGGCCAUGCUGACUUUGCACUCUGCACCUACAGAGUGUAAAGGGGGGGG